AGCGAACGCUGGCGGCAGGCCUAACACAUGCAAGUCGAACGGACCCUUCGGGGUUAGUGGCGGACGGGUGAGUAACACGUGGGAACGUGCCUUUAGGUUCGGAAUAGCUCCUGGAAACGGGUGGUAAUGCCGAAUGUGCCCUUCGGGGGAAAGAUUUAUCGCCUUUAGAGCGGCCCGCGUCUGACUAGCUUGUUGGUGGGGUAAUGGCCCACCAAGGCUACGAUCGGUAGCUGGUCUGAGAGGAUGACCAGCCACAUUGGGACUGAGACACGGCCCAAACUCCUACGGGAGGCAGCAGUGGGGAAUCUUGCGCAAUGGGCGAAAGCCUGACGCAGCCAUGCCGCGUGUAUGAUGAAGGUCUUAGGAUUGUAAAAUACUUUCACCGGUGAAGAUAAUGACUGUAGCCGGAGAAGAAGCCCCGGCUAACUUCGUGCCAGCAGCCGCGGUAAUACGAAGGGGGCUAGCGUUGCUCGGAAUUACUGGGCGUAAAGGGAGCGUAGGCGGACAUUUAAGUCAGG
This 518-nucleotide ribosomal RNA is filed under the name uncultured bacterium. Its description in RNAcentral is "bacterial SSU rRNA". It matches the Rfam family "Bacterial small subunit ribosomal RNA", at positions 28 to 592 of the family's 1533-position model. The record is from RNAcentral.